RNAcentral lists this ribosomal RNA (475 nucleotides) under uncultured organism. RNAcentral describes it as "partial 16S ribosomal RNA". It matches the Rfam family "Bacterial small subunit ribosomal RNA", at positions 335 to 801 of the family's 1533-position model. The record is from RNAcentral.
ACUCCUACGGGAGGCAGCAGUGGGGAAUAUUGCACAAUGGGCGCAAGCCUGAUGCAGCCAUGCCGCGUGUAUGAAGAAGGCCUUCGGGUUGUAAAGUACUUUCAGCGGGGAGGAAGGCAAUACGGUUAAUAACCGUGUUGAUUGACGUUACCCGCAGAAGAAGCACCGGCUAACUCCGUGCCAGCAGCCGCGGUAAUACGGAGGGUGCAAGCGUUAAUCGGAAUUACUGGGCGUAAAGCGCACGCAGGCGGUCUGUCAAGUCGGAUGUGAAAUCCCCGGGCUCAACCUGGGAACUGCAUUCGAAACUGGCAGGCUUGAGUCUUGUAGAGGGGGGUAGAAUUCCAGGUGUAGCGGUGAAAUGCGUAGAGAUCUGGAGGAAUACCGGUGGCGAAGGCGGCCCCCUGGACAAAGACUGACGCUCAGGUGCGAAAGCGUGGGGAGCAAACAGGAUUAGAUACCCUAGUAGUCCCAUGAU